CCUACGGGCGGCAGCAGUGGGGAAUAUUGGACAAUGGGCGAAAGCCUGAUCCAGCCAUGCCGCGUGUGUGAAGAAGGCCUUCGGGUUGUAAAGCACUUUCAGUGGGGAAGAAAGCCUUGGGGCUAAUACCCUCGAGGAAGGACAUCACCCACAGAAGAAGCACCGGCUAACUCCGUGCCAGCAGCCGCGGUGAAUACGGAGGGUGCGAGCGUUAAUCGGAAUUACUGGGCGUAAAGCGCGCGUAGGCGGUCUGAUAAGCCGGUUGUGAAAGCCCCGGGCUCAACCUGGGAACGGCAUCCGGAACUGUCAGGCUAGAGUGCAGGAGAGGAAGGUAGAAUUCCCGGUGUAGCGGUGAAAUGCGUAGAGAUCGGGAGGAAUACCAGUGGCGAAGGCGGCCUUCUGGACUGACACUGACGCUGAGGUGCGAAAGCGUGGGUAGCAAACAGGAUUAGAUCCCCUAGUAGUC
RNAcentral lists this ribosomal RNA (466 nucleotides) under Vreelandella stevensii. RNAcentral's name for it is "partial 16S ribosomal RNA". It matches the Rfam family "Bacterial small subunit ribosomal RNA", at positions 338 to 795 of the family's 1533-position model. The record is from RNAcentral. Lineage: Bacteria; Pseudomonadati; Pseudomonadota; Gammaproteobacteria; Oceanospirillales; Halomonadaceae.